UGCGCGUGUCUGCGCGCCGGGCCGCUCGGCGCGCUCGGCAAUCGAUUACAGGACAAGUGCUGCCCCGGCGGCUCCGCGACGCGCGCACUCCCUCGCGCCCACCCGCGCGCCGGGCCGCGACGCCCCCAGCCCUGCGGCCCCCGGACGGCGGACCCCGCCCCCGAAGGGGGGACCAGGUGGUGGUGUUCUCUUUGAAGCGGUGUUCUCUUUUUAAGUGGGAUAUGGAACAAUGGUCUCACAUUCUCCUGUCGACCUAGAUUGGCACUACGAGGAAGCAAGGAAGCUAGAAUUGGAACCAUAGUUUCAAAGAAAACAUUCUAAGAUACCAAAUCCAGUUCCUAAGAAAUUUGGAGAGACAGAAAGAGCUCAGAGGCAGCUGCUAUCUCGGUGCACUUGGAUCAGAAUGGCAGUGAUGAGAUACGUGAUCAUAGACCUGGAUAUGAAGCAAGUGUCAAGUUUUACUGAUGACAAACACAUAAAAUUGUGAAUCUGAAGAUAGAUCAGGAAUGAGAAGAUGAGCCCAGUGAGAUUCAGGACCUUUGUAAAAUUGCUCAACCAUCCCUUUGGGAGACUGGAGUCCUCUGCAGGCUUUUCUGCAUCUACCUGGAAGACAAGGGAAGGAAGAGAGAAGAGGAUCAUGGGGGAAGUUUCCAUUGGCCAGGCACGGAACUGCUGUACAUCCCUUCUGCCCACACUCUACCACAUGACAGACUCAUUCAAACAGCAUACCUAACUAGGCUCUGUGAAGACCCGUGGGAUCACGAAGCAUGCGCAUGAGCGGAGCAGGUCCCAAAGCUAUCAACUCUUCAACCAUGGGAGGCCCUUGAUCCCUGAACUUUCUACUCGUGCCAAUUUCUGCUUGAAAAUCCACCCACACUCACCUGCGUGCAUGUCUCCCUUACUUAAGUAGCAGCCAACACACGAUCUCACUGACAGUUCCAACUACUUCCCCUAGAGCUAUAGGCUCAGUAGAUAUGUGAUCUGCCUUCCAGGUCCUCCCAUGACAGCUUCACUGAGAAUUUGCUGAGGUUCAGCAGAAAUCUCCAGACAUUCAGCCUGCUCUAUUGUAUUGUCACCUGCUGCUGGCCAGUCACUAACCAGCGCUUCUUAUUCCUGGGUUUUGUUACAACAGCAGUACAUGUCAAAGUACCAAUUUCUGUACUUGUCAAGUUAGGAGAGCUGCUGUAACUAAAAUCUCAGUGCCUUAAUAUACUAAGGCUUAUUUUUAUUCACAUUACACAUUAAUGUGGGUGUAUGAUAAGUGACAUACUACUCAGUGAUUAAGGGAACCAACCAGGUUCGUUCCAUCUUAAUUUUUUUUAUUUUGUAUUACCUUUUUAUUUUGAAACUUACAUUUUUGAAAAUCUUGGUUUAAAAUCUUUUGUUGAAGUAAUUAAAAUGUCUGUUGAGAAGUUCAGUUUAUUUUAAUACUUGCAUUUAGUAGCUGUCACAGCUGAAAAAGACCCCUCAUAAUCAGAGGUAGAACCAAAUGAAAGAAAUAUUUAUUUGUUUGCACCAAAGAAAAUCAUGAUACUCAGUUUUCAAUCCUGUUCACAAAUUUUCACAAUGACUUAGUUGAAAUUUUACUUGUGCAAUUAAAUUUCCUUGAUGUCAUUUAGUAGUUCUUUCAAAGUAAUCAAAAGAUUGACUAGUUCAUGUUUAACAAAGGCACUUCAAAUUCCCUGAAAUAUUUUUAAGCAUGUCAGAAAAUUCUGUUUUAAUAUUUUCUAGAUAUCAGCAUAUGAGAUGUGUUUUUAAAGAUGACAGGUUUACUUAUACUGUUUUAGUUACCAAAAAAAAAAUCAUAGUAAAAAUCAUUCCUAAAAUUCCUUUUCAAAAUGUGGCCUCCAUAGCAUGAGAUUCUUUUUAAAAGCAAUUACUAUUUAACUCGCUGUUAAAGCAUUAUCUCUACCAUGAUGGGAUUGAUUACUUAUAUUUUUGGAGGUGUCUGUUAGGCAACAUAGCCACUGGUUGUCCCAUAAAUUGGAACCAACCAGAAGCUGACAGUCGAGGGAGCUCUUGGGUGGAGUGUAGACCAUUGAGGUCAGUCACCCAGGGCACAGAGGAGAGUAAAAGGGGUGAAAAAUGGAUUGGAAGGAGUCAAUGAAAGAUAUUUGACACAGCUAUAAAAUCACUCAUACACAUGCCUGCUGUAAGAGACAAAGUGAAUGAACGAGAGUGCCAUUGUCAAGCCCUCUGGUUGUGGAACCCUACACGUCCCUCAGAAAACUUAUUAUCAUAUGUGAUGAAAGACUGUUGGAGCCUCUAGUGGGGCAUCUUCUCUAAACAAACAGAAAUAAAAUGACAUGUGACAGAUGAAGACAAAUUACUUUUUAUUACAAAAGUCUAGGUUGGAAGAUGUAGCUUAAUGUGAGAGCAAAAUGGACCUGCUAAUGGAACCCCAGAAUUAGCAGAUUUACCCAGCCUAGGCAUUGCUGAACUGGGACAGGCCAGAGAUUUUUCUGCUGAUGCCUUAGGGUGCAUAUACUAUACCACUUGUGACACCAGUGGGCUAAAAAGUACACUAUUGGACCACUAUUAGACAAUUGGACCUAGCUAGCACGGUAAUCCUAGCUUCGUGCCUGGUGAGCGUCCUGGCCAAAAGCAGGAAGAAUUUCCUUCCUCGUGCCUAGUUUUCCUCUAAACUAUGUUGACUGUCAUCCAGGUAAACCAGAAUCAGGUUUAACUCAGUCCCACUCCCAGCCAAGCUUCAGGCCCGUCUUCCCCUGAACAUGCUCUCUGGGUCUUUGUGGAUGGAUAGCUUAGCAUCUACCUGUCCCCACUGCUCAGCUCUAAGCUGAGUGCUAUUGAUAGUAUGCCUACCUUAUGAUUAUAUAUGAAGGCCAACAUGUUAUAUCAGUGCACUUAAGUCUUUUCUUUAUCUGGUAUAAACGUUAGAAUGACAUUUUUUAUCUGCUUAACUCUCAGCAAAUCAAGUGAGAGGUUUUAAAAAGAAAUAGAAGAAACAACUUAUAAUGCAGUUUAUACAAUGAAUAGGAUUUUAUGUUCCUACUCAAUGGCUUCAUGGUGAAAGGAAGGUUCUAAAAUUCUGAAACUAACAGGAAAAGUCAGUGUUUCUUGGGAGGGAAGGGAUAGAGGCAGAAAAGAAAGAAGGAAAUGCAAAAAGGUUAGAAAGUGUUAUAUCUGGAUGUUCUAAACAUCAAAGGAAGAAAAAUGGAAUAAUAAUGGUGAGUUAAGGAUCUGAAGACCCAUGAAUCAAUUUCUCUUUUCCCCAUUGAGUGAUAUGAAAAGGGAAAGGAAAGGUGUAAUCUUGACUAGAGACUAAAUACAUGCUGUGGUAUUUUCUGAAGAAAAAAAAGUCUCGCUUAAGGGGAAUCGAUAAUGAAAUAAGAUUAGAAAAUGAUAACUGCACUUUAUUUAAUAUUUUUGGUGACAAUUAUAAAUAUGGAACUGUGCAAGGAGAGUUUAGAUAAGUGAAGCCGAGUUUUAUAAUACACAGUAGAAAAAACAGGCUCACUAUGGGAAAUGGAAACAGCAAGGACAGAAUCAACUUUGAGAGUUCGAUGAAGCAUGUGAAUCAAGGCCUAAGCCUACUUAAUACAUGGAAUUUCCCUGGUCAGAGAGAUUGUCCAAGGGUCAGUAGAGGAACCUAGGUGGUUCGGUUAUUAGGAAGUCCAAGACUUUAGUUGGUGUUUGGGGUAAAAAAAUGUAAUCAAUCCAUCAUUCUCUGACUCUCUUUUCCUCUCACUCCCAUCCUCUUAUUGUGGUUAUUGAUAACUAUUUGGCAACCACCAGGUUAACUAGCUUUGGAAUAAAUUUGCCACACUCCAAAGAAAACUGAAGAGGGAAACAAGACUGCUCCCUGGGAUAGAUCCACAGAGCGGCUGGAUCAAGUCUUACCUGCAACUUCCACCACUAGUAAAAUUUUGAGUUUGUGAGUCAGUAAAAUUACCCUUAUAGUCAAGGCUAGUUAAGUAUCAUAACUGAGACACCUUUCUGAAUUACAUUUGUACUCAUCUACUAAAAUAUUUUAUUUUCCCCAUUUAUUUGAAUCUCAGCUCAUGUUGUCUCACACUGAAUGUAUUUGCCUACGUUUCUUAUCUUUCCGCACAGAUUUUGCACUCCUUGAGGGCAAGGACUUCAGUUUACAUAUUAAAUAUUUCUUCUAGCUUUCAGCAUACUGCUUUG
Molecule: long non-coding RNA, 4149 nt
Organism: Hipposideros armiger (great roundleaf bat)
Lineage: Eukaryota; Metazoa; Chordata; Mammalia; Chiroptera; Hipposideridae
Exons: 6
Source: RefSeq, a predicted model, not a curated record